UCUAUUGUGGCAGAUAUUAUGCUCAAAAGUUAAGAUUUUGAUAAACCUAUUUUGGUCUUUAGAU
Molecule: transfer RNA, 64 nt
Filed under: Gordionus alpestris
Lineage: Eukaryota; Metazoa; Nematomorpha; Gordioida; Chordodea; Parachordodidae
Description: tRNA-Leu
Source: RNAcentral